AGCAGCCGCGGUAAUUCCAGCUCCAAUAGCGUAUAUUAAAGUUGUUGCAGUUAAAAAGCUCGUAGUUGAAUUUCGGGGUCAGUAGGUUGGUCGUGCCAAUGGUAUGUACUGGCUUUACUGAUUCCUCCUUCUUGAAGAACUGUAAUGUCAUUAAUUUGGUGUUGCAGGGAAACAGGACUGUUACUUUGAAAAAAUUAGAGUGUUUAAAGCAGGCUAACGCUUGAAUACAUUAGCAUGGAAUAAUGAAAUAGGACGUUCGAUCCUAUUUUGUUGGUUUCUAGGAUUGACGUAAUGAUUAAUAGGGAUAGUUGGGGGCAUUAGUAUUCAAUUGUCAGAGGUGAAAUUCUUGGAUUUAUUGAAGACUAACUACUGCGAAAGCAUUUGCCAAGGAUGUUUUCAUUAAUCAAGAACGAAAGUUAGGGGAUCGAAGACGAUCAGAUACCGUCGUAGUCUUAACCAUAAACUAUGCCGACUAGGGAUCGGAUGAUGUUAAUUUUUUAAUGACUCA
RNAcentral lists this ribosomal RNA (508 nucleotides) under Glomus sp. PSAMG2. RNAcentral's name for it is "SSU rRNA". It matches the Rfam family "Eukaryotic small subunit ribosomal RNA", at positions 569 to 1078 of the family's 1831-position model. The record is from RNAcentral. Lineage: Eukaryota; Fungi; Glomeromycota; Glomeromycetes; Glomerales; Glomeraceae.